CAUCAGCCACGGUAAUACAGAGGGUGCGAGCGUUAAUCGGAUUUACUGGGCGUAAAGCGUGCGUAGGCGGCUUUUUAAGUCGGAUGUGAAAUCCCUGAGCUUAACUUAGGAAUUGCAUUCGAUACUGGGAAGCUAGAGUAUGGGAGAGGAUGGUAGAAUUCCAGGUGUAGCGGUGAAAUGCGUAGAGAUCUGGAGGAAUACCGAUGGCGAAGGCAGCCAUCUGGCCUAAUACUGACGCUGAGGUACGAAAGCAUGGGGAGCAAACAGGAUUAGAUACCCCUGUAGUCCCUGUCUCUUAUAC
RNAcentral lists this ribosomal RNA (301 nucleotides) under uncultured bacterium. RNAcentral describes it as "partial 16S ribosomal RNA". It matches the Rfam family "Bacterial small subunit ribosomal RNA", at positions 509 to 807 of the family's 1533-position model. The record is from RNAcentral.